Molecule: ribosomal RNA, 332 nt
Filed under: uncultured bacterium
Lineage: Bacteria
Description: bacterial SSU rRNA
Rfam family: Bacterial small subunit ribosomal RNA
Source: RNAcentral
AACGAACGCUGGCGGCGUGGAUAAGACAUGCAAGUCGAACGGGAUUACUUCUGGUAGCAAUACCGGAGGUAAUUUAGUGGCGAACGGGUGCGUAACACGUGGGGAAUCUGCCGAGAAGUGGGGGAUAGCUCGUCGAAAGGACGAAUUAAUACCGCAUAUGAUCAGCCAAGACAUCUUGGCGACAUCAAAGCCGGGGCAACCUGGCGCUUCUUGAUGACCCCGCGGCCUACAGCUAGUUGGUGAGGUAACGGGCCCACCAAGGCUAUGACGGGUAGGCUGGUCUGAGAGGACGACCAGUCACACUGGAACUGAGACACGGUCCAGACACCUAC